AUUGAACGCUGGCGGCAGGCCUAACACAUGCAAGUCGAACGAGUGGCGGACGGGUGAGUACUGUCUGGGAAACUGCCCGAUGGAGGGGGAUAACUACUGGAAACGGUAGCUAAUACCGCAUACCAUCGGAUGUGCCCAGAUGGGAUUAGCUAGUAGUGGGGGUAACGGCUUACCUAGGCGACGAUCCCUAGCUGGUCUGAGAGGAUGACCAGCAACACUGGAACUGAGACACGGUCCAGACUCCUACGGGAGGCAGCAGUGGGGAAGAUUGCACAAUGGGCGCAAGCCUGAUGCAGCCAUGCCGCGGGUAUGAAGAAGGCCUUCGGGUUGUAAAGUACUUUCAGCGAGGAGGAGUUACUCGCAGAAGAAGCACCGGCUAACUCCGUGCCAGCAGCCGCGGUAAUUC
This 406-nucleotide ribosomal RNA is filed under the name uncultured bacterium. RNAcentral describes it as "partial 16S ribosomal RNA". It matches the Rfam family "Bacterial small subunit ribosomal RNA", at positions 30 to 526 of the family's 1533-position model. The record is from RNAcentral.